UGGCUUAUCACACCUUUUUACAUUAAGUUUUGGUUUUCAAUUGUGAACAAUGAUACAUCCAGCUUUAUCAAAGGGAGCAGAUAGUUCUACUUGUUAAUUUAUCAAUAGGAAAAACACUGGUGGCAUGAAAGGGAUUGCUUGCUGAAUAAGGAAGUGUUUCAGAAAUCUUUAAUUACAGGAACUCACACUAAAUAUUGAUAAAAAUAUUUACAAUCUUCUGUUGUUAAUAAUCACAUCUCUUUGGUUCUUUGUUGGCUUUUUCGGUUUUUGAAGUCUCUUCAGAAAUUCCCUAUAUUUUUUCUUAUUUAUGUCAUUAGGGUUGAAUGCUGCUGUGUUUCCCAGUGUGCCAGAUGGUUGGAGAAAUGAAGAUACAAUCACCUCUCCUGAAAUUUACAUAAAAAUGAAUGUACUGACAUCAAAUUAAAAUCAAAGGGAAAAAAACUCACAAUGACCUUGAUGAAUGUGAAAAAAGGAGAGCGAGAAGGAAAAAAUCCCAGCAACUGAUUUUAUUGAUGACCAAACAUGGUAUAGGUAUGUCUCCAGAUGACUCCGGAUUGGUAGUGUGAAUUCAGAGGCCCAGAACUCCUUAUGGAUCUGAUGGAUAUCAGCUUGUGGCAUCUAAGACCUGAAUCUAAAGCAGAUCUCAGCUUAACCAAUUCCAAAGAAAAAAAUCCUUCCUGAAUUUUACUUCACUAUUAGAGGAGCUGCAGAGAUAUAAACUAAAGGUGGUUUGCUAAAGGUUAUGUUUCUUUGCCGUGCUGUAUUUUGCACAUGAAUAAAAUGAGAAGGCUGCAGUUUCCAGUCAAUCAAUGUUUGAUGAACUAGCAACACUUUAAAAAGUUCAGCUUAACAGUUGCAAGCUUUCACUUGAAAUAUGGCAUUUUUCUGCCACCUCGUUGAAAGUUCAUGGCAACUUUUGAAGACACUUAGAAAAUUACUGGUAAUUUUAAAUCCUCAGCUUCAUUUGACAGCACCAUGCUUUAGGAUUCAACUUUUUUUUCCUUUUUUUUUUCCCUGUAGACAGUACAUUCUCUGUGAAUUCACUAGUUCUAGACCAGACACUUAUUCAUUGCAUUACUCUCCUUCAAUUAUGUACUUGGCAAUUGCUCAUACUCAGCCUUGAAAUGGGAGACAUUGUGUGAGUGCAAAUAAAUGUAAGCUAGGAAAUUAAGGUUAUCUUUUAUGGCUUUUAAAGUACAUGUAAUAGAUUCUUUAUCUUCCCACUGGACAGUCAACAUCUCAUUUGGAGCAAAAAACUCCCUAAAAUGCUGCAUUUCCCAUUUGAAGCAUCACUGAAGGGAAACAGAGAUGGGACAUAAGAGUUACCUCAUCAGUGGCUCAUCAGGUUUAAAUUUGGCUCUCAGAGAGGCCACUAUAUAUAUUUCAGAAUUAUGCCAAAUGCCAAGAGUGCCAAAGGGAACUAUUUUUAAUGUACUCAUAGUUCUUUUGCCUUCUGUGAGCCUGGUUUAUGCCCACAAACAUGAUACAUUUUGAUUUUGUUGUGGGUUGGAUUUUUUUUUUCAAAUGUAAGGUUGUUAACUACUAAAAAUGAUUAUGUGCUUGUAAAAUAAAUGUCCAAUAAACAUUUUUCAUAUGGAGAAAAA
Taeniopygia guttata (zebra finch) is the source of this 1604-nucleotide non-coding RNA. The record is from RefSeq and is a predicted model, not a curated record. NCBI's taxonomy places the organism in Eukaryota, Metazoa, Chordata, Aves, Passeriformes, Estrildidae.